UUAGCCAAAAAGAUAUAAAUGAAGGAAAAAUUUCGAAAGCUGCCUUUGUUUUCUAGAAAUUGAAAGAAUUUCGGGCGUAUACAAAUAUCCAUCAUUAAUAAUGGAAAGAAGCACUCAGAAAACCUCUUUUUUUUUUCGCAAUCUUUCAAGGAAUCAUUAUUCCUUCAAACAAUUAUUCCUUCAAACAAACAGAGCCUAAGCCGAAAACAAGUAUUAUUACUCAAUAAUAACAAACAAUUUUACGCACCCAGAAGAACCCAGUAUUUAAAACAACAAAUGUCUCCAAUAUGGAGCAUAACACAAGCAGUAAGCCUCCUUAAAAUUAGCUUCUU
This 332-nucleotide unclassified non-coding RNA is filed under the name Hevea brasiliensis (rubber tree). Lineage: Eukaryota; Viridiplantae; Streptophyta; Magnoliopsida; Malpighiales; Euphorbiaceae. The record is from RNAcentral.